RNAcentral lists this ribosomal RNA (537 nucleotides) under uncultured archaeon. RNAcentral's name for it is "bacterial SSU rRNA". It matches the Rfam family "Archaeal small subunit ribosomal RNA", at positions 354 to 885 of the family's 1478-position model. The record is from RNAcentral.
AAUGCACGCGAGUGCGAUAGGGGGACUCCGAGUGCGUUCUUCCCACAAGGAAGGACGCUUUUCUGCACUGUAAGGAGGUGCAGGAACAAGGGGUGGGCAAGACUGCUGCCAGCCGCCGCGGUAAUAGCAGCACCCCGAGUGGUAGUCGUUAUUAUUGGGCUUAAAGUGUACGUAGCCGGACCUGUAAGUCCGUUGUGAAAUCCACGCGCUUAACGCAGUGGAAGCGCAACGGAUACUACAGGUCUAGGGACCGGAGGACGCCGAGGCUAUUCCAUGGGUAGGAGUGAAAUCCCAAGAUCCAUGGAGGAGCACCAGUGGCGAAAGCGCUCGGCGACUACGGAUCCGACGGUGAGGUACGAAAGCCAGGGGAGCAAAGCGGAUUAGAUACCCGCGUAGUCCUGGCCGUCAACAUUGUCCGCUCGACAUGGCCCAACCCUUGAGGUUUGGCUGUGUCCAAGUGAAAACGUUAAGCGGACCGCCUGGGUAGUACGGUCGCAAGGCUGAAACUUAAAGGAAUUGGCGGGGGAGCACGGUCAU